RNAcentral lists this ribosomal RNA (564 nucleotides) under Fusarium oxysporum f. sp. ciceris. RNAcentral's name for it is "SSU rRNA". It matches the Rfam family "Bacterial small subunit ribosomal RNA", at positions 382 to 882 of the family's 1533-position model. Lineage: Eukaryota; Fungi; Ascomycota; Sordariomycetes; Hypocreales; Nectriaceae. The record is from RNAcentral.
AGCUAUGGGUCAAGUCCGAUAUCUUUAGGAGAAGUCUUAUUGUGAGGGCGAGUUUUAUAACACCAUAGGACUGGCCGUCCCAUAUGAAAAGAUUAUAUUAGAAUUGAAUGAAGCUUUGUUUAUAUAUUGAUAAUGACAGUAUAUAUAUCGUGUCUUGACUAAUUGCGUGCCAGCAGUCGCGGUAAUACGUAAGAGACUAGUGUUAUUCAUCUUAAUUAGGUUUAAAGGGUACCCAGACGGUCAAUAUAGCUUAUAAAAUGUUAGUACUUGACUAGAGUUUUAUGUAAGAGGGCAGUACUUGAGGAGGAGAGAUGAAAUUUCGUGAUACCAAAGGGACUCUGUAAAGGCGAAGGCAGCCCUCUAUGUAAAAACUGACGUUGAAGGACGAAGGCACAGAGAACAAACAGGAUUAGAUACCCAAGUAGUCUUUGCAGUAAAUGAUGAAUGCCAUAGGUUAGAUGGGUGGGUAGUCUAGUUGAGUUAAUUUAGCAAACUAAUGAUCUAGACUAGUCCACCAUAUAUUUGGUCUAUAAAUGAAAGUGUAAGCAUUUCACCUCAAGAGUA